AGGAUGAACGCUGGGCGGCGUGCUUAACACAUGCAAGUCGAACGGAGUUUUUAAACGGAAGUUUUCGGAUGGAAGUUUAGAAACUUAGUGGCGGACGGGUGAGUAACGCGUGGGUAACCUGCCUCAUACAGGGGGAUAACAGUUAGAAAUGACUGCUAACACCGCAUAAUAUAGCGAAACCGCAUGAUUUUUGCUAUCAAAUAUUUUAUAGGUAUGAGAUGGGCCCGCGUCUGAUUAGCUAGUUGGUGGGGUAAAGGCCUACCAAGGCGACGAUCAGUAGCCGGCUUGAGAGAGUGACCGGCCACAUUGGGACUGAGACACGGCCCAAACUCCUACGGGAGGCAGCAGUGGGGAAUAUUGGACAAUGGGGGAAACCCUGAUCCAGCCGACGCCGCGUGAGUGAAGAAGUAUUUCGGUAUGUAAAGCUCUAUCAGCAGGGAAGAUAAUGACAGUACCUGACUAAGAAGCCCCGGCUAACUACGUGCCAGCCGCCGC
RNAcentral lists this ribosomal RNA (495 nucleotides) under uncultured bacterium. RNAcentral describes it as "bacterial SSU rRNA". It matches the Rfam family "Bacterial small subunit ribosomal RNA", at positions 26 to 518 of the family's 1533-position model. The record is from RNAcentral.